ACAGAAAGGCAGGAUGGUCUGAGAGCAUGUGCCCAGCUUACAGCCAGCCCAGAAGCUGUUGCCAGUGGGAUAUCACACACGGGCACCUGAGGCUCCACGCGCCUUUCUGCAUCGCCCCAGUGGCACAAGGUGACUACAGGAGAACCGGUGGAAAUGAAGGAAGAAUAUUCAUCUCCCAAUGCCUUGGGAUUUCCAGGCCUAAACUGCAGCUGGCGUGUGGCAAAAGUCUGAAAGAAAACUACAUUUCCUUCUGUCCAUACAUCUCAGGAUGGAAUUUGUCUCCCCAGACCUGGCACUUCAGAUUGCAGCUGGUCCCCAAAAUGCAGUCAGACAAUUGUAAGAGGAAGGAGUAAUCACUGACUGGAUCGACAGUUAUCAGCUGUGUAAGGGGUGCCGUCAGACGCUUCCACACAGACAUGACAAGUUUGGGUCACCCCCAAGGAGUUACAGCACAUCUCCAAGCCCUCUGCUCUCUCUCUCAUGGUGCUUGGGUGUCUGAUUCCCUUUCUGGGGGGACGCAGGAGGCUUUUAGGGCUGCCAAGGUUCGCUGGAGCCCUGACAACCGCGUGCCCGCAGUCCCAGCGCCGCCGCCAUCCGCGGCACCUC
Long non-coding RNA from Colius striatus (speckled mousebird), 606 nucleotides. RefSeq lists it as uncharacterized. NCBI's taxonomy places the organism in Eukaryota, Metazoa, Chordata, Aves, Coliiformes, Coliidae. The record is from RefSeq and is a predicted model, not a curated record. The transcript is spliced from 4 exons.